UGCCAGCAGCCGCGGUAAUACGUAGGCUCCAAGCGUUGUUCGGAAUUACUGGGCGUAAGGCGAGUGUAGGCGGAUCAGAAAGUUGGGGGUGAAAUCCCAGGGCUCAACCCUGGAACUGCCUCCAAAACUCCUGGUCUAGAGUUCGAGAGAGGUGAGUGGAAUUCCGAGUGUAGAGGUGAAAUUCGUAGAUAUUCGGAGGAACACCAGUGGCGAAGGCGGCUCACUGGCUCGAUACUGACGCUGAGGUACGAAAGUGUGGGGAGCAAACAGGAUUAGAUA
Molecule: ribosomal RNA, 279 nt
Filed under: uncultured bacterium
Lineage: Bacteria
Description: partial 16S ribosomal RNA
Rfam family: Bacterial small subunit ribosomal RNA
Source: RNAcentral